GGUGGUCUAGUGGUUAGGAUUCGGCGC
RNAcentral lists this non-coding RNA (27 nucleotides) under Gallus gallus (chicken). Lineage: Eukaryota; Metazoa; Chordata; Aves; Galliformes; Phasianidae. RNAcentral also lists the same sequence under 5 other names. The record is from RNAcentral.